Molecule: transfer RNA, 73 nt
Filed under: Dermophis mexicanus (Mexican burrowing caecilian)
Lineage: Eukaryota; Metazoa; Chordata; Amphibia; Gymnophiona; Dermophiidae
Description: tRNA-Asn
Rfam family: tRNA
About the family: Transfer RNA (tRNA) molecules are approximately 80 nucleotides in length. Their secondary structure includes four short double-helical elements and three loops (D, anti-codon, and T loops).
Source: RNAcentral
UAGAUUGGAGUUCGUUGAAUAGAGCGAUUAGCUGUUAACUAAUAGGUUGUGGGAUGAAAGCCCAUCAGUCUAA